RNAcentral lists this transfer RNA (76 nucleotides) under Ralstonia solanacearum. Its description in RNAcentral is "tRNA-Ile". It matches the Rfam family "tRNA". From Rfam's summary of the family: Transfer RNA (tRNA) molecules are approximately 80 nucleotides in length. The record is from RNAcentral. Lineage: Bacteria; Pseudomonadati; Pseudomonadota; Betaproteobacteria; Burkholderiales; Burkholderiaceae.
GGGUCUGUAGCUCAGGUGGUUAGAGUACCGUCUUGAUAAGGCGGGGUCGUAGGUUCAAGUCCUACCAGACCCACCA